UUGGAGGGCAAGUCUGGUGCCAGCAGCCGCGGUAAUUCCAGCUCCAAUAGCGUAUAUUAAAGUUGCUGCAGUUAAAAAGCUCGUAGUUGAAUUUCGGGACCAUCAUGUCGGUCGUGCCUCGGUACGUACUGGCAUCGUCGGUUUCUCCCUUCUGACGAACCAUGAUGUCAUUUAUUUGGUGUUGUGGGGAAUCAGGACUGUUACUUUGAAAAAAUUAGAGUGUUUAAAGCAGGCUCACGCUUGAAUACAUUAGCAUGGAAUAAUGAAAUAGGACGUUUGAUUCUAUUUUGUUGGUUUCUAGGAUCGACGUAAUGAUUAAUAGGGAUAGUUGGGGGCAUUAGUAUUCAAUUGUCAGAGGUGAAAUUCUUGGAUUUAUUGAAGACUAACUACUGCGAAAGCAUUUGCCAAGGAUGUUUUCAUUAAUCAAGAACGAAAGUUAGGGGAUCGAAGACGAUCAGAUACCGUCGUAGUCUUAACCAUAAACUAUGCCGACUAGGGAUCGGAUGAUGUUAAUUUUUUAAUGACUCAUUCGGCGCCUUACGGGAAACCAAAGUGUUUGGGUUC
This 564-nucleotide ribosomal RNA is filed under the name uncultured Glomeromycotina. Its description in RNAcentral is "SSU rRNA". It matches the Rfam family "Eukaryotic small subunit ribosomal RNA", at positions 548 to 1114 of the family's 1831-position model. Lineage: Eukaryota; Fungi; Glomeromycota. The record is from RNAcentral.